GACGAACGCUGGCGGCGUGCUUAACACAUGCAAGUCGAGCGGAAAGGCCCUUCGGGGUACUCGAGCGGCGAACGGGUGAGUAACACGUGAGUAACCUGCCCUAGGCUUUGGGAUAACCCCGGGAAACCGGGGCUAAUACCGGAUAUGACCUGGUGCCGCAUGGUGUUGGGUGGAAAGUUUUUUCGGCCUGGGAUGGGCUCGCGGCCUAUCAGCUUGUUGGUGGGGUGAUGGCCUACCAAGGCGAUGACGGGUAGCCGGCCUGAGAGGGCGACCGGCCACACUGGGACUGAGACACGGCCCAGACUCCUACGGGAGGCAGCAGUGGGGAAUAUUGCACAAUGGGCGGAAGCCUGAUGCAGCGACGCCGUGUGAGGGAUGAAGGCCUUCGGGUUGUAAACCUCUUUCAGCAGGGACGAAGCGUGAGUGACGGUACCUGCAGAAGAAGCGCCGGCCAACUACGU
This 461-nucleotide ribosomal RNA is filed under the name uncultured bacterium. Its description in RNAcentral is "partial 16S ribosomal RNA". It matches the Rfam family "Bacterial small subunit ribosomal RNA", at positions 28 to 506 of the family's 1533-position model. The record is from RNAcentral.